UAAGAAUUUCAAUUAAAAUGAAAAAUAUUUGAUUUUCUUUUGCAAAGACCACUUCCACCCGUUUCAAGGAAUCACGGCACCAUAGCACAACCCUAUUUCUAGAGGAGAUGAACAUAGAUGAACAAAGAGAAAUUACCUUUCACUUGAGGCAGCAGAAGCGUGGGAACAUUUCUAGACUGAGAACGAAGGAGACAUGAGCUGAGAUGAUGGAAGCUGAGAGGACGAGCUGAGAUGGAGAGCUGAGACGGAGAGCUGAGGAAGAAAACCCUAUUUUUUUAGGGAAAAUGUUUUGUAGUUUCCUAUUGUGUUUUGAGAUUAAGAAAGGUUCAAACUUAGUUAAAAUAUUUUUGCAACAAACUUAGUGACAGAGUAUGACAUCCGUUGCUAAAAAAUAAUUAUAUUAAUUUAGAUUAAAUUCUAGCGAUG
Molecule: long non-coding RNA, 426 nt
Filed under: Solanum tuberosum (potato)
Lineage: Eukaryota; Viridiplantae; Streptophyta; Magnoliopsida; Solanales; Solanaceae
Description: long non-coding RNA (STUB_LNC011656)
Source: RNAcentral